UCUCUCUCUGCCCCCACCUCCCUUGACACUUGGCAGCUGUGCAAUAGGGACUCCAAACUGCGUCUCCCCCUGUGAUCCUGGACUCCGGAUACAAUUAGCAAAAAUUACAAAGGUGUAUUUGGAAGUUACAGAAACUAGACAAAUCAACAGUCACAUUGCCGGCGAAGCCAGACGAGGAAGCAGUUUAAGCUGUGAAUUUCUUCUUCACCCCACAUAGAACAGUGACGACCAUCAUUUUUGUCUUCACCAUAGAGAGAUGCUUUGUGAACAAGGUGAGGAUUUAAUGCUUUUUAUUUCUCUCAUGAGGGUACACUGCCCUUUCUUUUGGU
This 329-nucleotide long non-coding RNA is filed under the name Chrysemys picta bellii (western painted turtle). RNAcentral describes it as "lncRNA (ENSCPBG00000008275.1)". The record is from RNAcentral. Lineage: Eukaryota; Metazoa; Chordata; Testudines; Emydidae.